Molecule: long non-coding RNA, 1284 nt
Organism: Ruditapes philippinarum (Manila clam)
Lineage: Eukaryota; Metazoa; Mollusca; Bivalvia; Venerida; Veneridae
Exons: 3
Source: RefSeq, a predicted model, not a curated record
AGCCCUGGAGGGACAUUUAUUAUUUAAAAUUUAGUACUUAAAAUUUAUUACUUAUUACCUAUUAUCUAUAACUUAUAACUUAUUAUUUAAAGAUUAUGACUUAUUAUUUACAUAUUAUCUGAACCGCGCUAUAUUUGGCGGGAGAAACAAGAUGUUAAUUGAGGCGAUGACCGAAAAGGAUGAAGUUGAGGAUCAGUUACAGAUGGAUCGUACGCGGAAACAGAAGUUACAGCAGCUAGUACAAAGCAUAAUGGCCACUAAAAAACUGAAAGGCAAUCUCUUUCAAAGCACACGAGUCCUUAUACUAGAAGUGGUCGUGGGCGUGAAGGAGGUCAGAAUACAAGGUGCCCAUAGGUUGGCAACAUUUUAGCAAAGGGAAAUACAGAAUUGUUAUGAAAAGGAAUGGAGGUGGUACACGAUAUAUAUACAAGAAUUCUGAUGAAGAAGUAACAGUAGAUGAAAUACUCAUAGAAGGGAAAGCAUUUUACUUUAAGGAUGGCAAAAGCAAGUUUGGUUUAUUUGAGGAAAUGGCUGUUACCCUUGUGACAGCUUCUGGACAAGAAAUUUCAGGCUUCACAGACAGAAAUGGUCUGCCCUGUUGCAUCACAGAGUAUGUUAAAGCUUAUGCCAGACUGUACCCAUCUCAGUGUCAUUUAUACUUAAGAACGAAAAUCAAAUCAGAAUCGGAUACAGAUAAAUGUUUAAAAACAAAAGAAGAAAGUCCGUGUUUCCUUGUAAACAACAUUAAAGCUGGGUUGCUGGAAAUAUCAUUUGAGAAAAAAACACAAUCUGUAUAUGCUGAUACAGGAAGUUCCAUUUUCAUUAAAUCAUACAGAACUGCUAUGUCUUUGGCAAAAGAUGAUCUUGAAGAAUACAAUGUUUUCAAUGAUGGCUAUUUAGUAAUUAGUGUACAGAAAGACAAUAAAGAAUAUUUGGUAGACAAUGAAAAUGUUUACUAUUUCCCACAAGUAAAUUUUGAUCCAAAUCAAGUUGUUUGCUUCAUUCAUGGACCGAAUAUUAUUCAUGGGAGUGAAACUGACGACUUGAAUCAUCUUAUUAUAGGAUGCCUGACAAUAUUUCAUAUUAUUUUCAAUAUAACAUGCAAAAGUCCUUUUAAAUACAAAAAAAAAAUCAAUUUCAGUAUAUCAAAAAAUCUCAGUUGAGUUCCUUUAAGAAUUAGCUUUUGAGCUUACAGAAAUUAUUAAUACACACUCAUGUUUAUAUACUAUACUCGUUUUGUUAAAAACCUUGUGUUAAAUAAAGCUAUUAUAAAUUUCUACAAAU